This 440-nucleotide ribosomal RNA is filed under the name uncultured bacterium. RNAcentral's name for it is "partial 16S ribosomal RNA". It matches the Rfam family "Bacterial small subunit ribosomal RNA", at positions 338 to 795 of the family's 1533-position model. The record is from RNAcentral.
CCUACGGGAGGCAGCAGUGGGGAAUAUUGCACAAUGGGGGAAACCCUGAUGCAGCGACGCCGCGUGAGUGAAGAAGUAUUUCGGUACGUAAAGCUCUAUCAGCAGGGAAGAAAAUGACGGUACCUGACUAAGAAGCCCCGGCUAACUCCGUGCCAGCAGCCGCGGUAAUACGUAGGGGGCAAGCGUUAUCCGGAUUUACUGGGUGUAAAGGGAGCGUAGACGGCAGCGCAAGUCUGGAGUGAAAUCCCAUGGCUUAACCAUGGAACUGCUUUGGAAACUGUGCAGCUAGAGUGCAGGAGAGGUAACCGGAAUUCCUAGUGUAGCGGUGAAAUGCGUAGAUAUGAGGAGGAACACCGGUGGCGAAGGCGGGUGACUGGACUGUAACUGACGGUGAGGCUCGAAAGCGUGGGGAGCAAACAGGAUUAGAUACCCGGGUAGUC